RNAcentral lists this ribosomal RNA (253 nucleotides) under uncultured bacterium. RNAcentral describes it as "partial 16S ribosomal RNA". It matches the Rfam family "Bacterial small subunit ribosomal RNA", at positions 524 to 776 of the family's 1533-position model. The record is from RNAcentral.
UACGUAGGGUGCAAGCGUUAAUCGGAAUUACUGGGCGUAAAGCGUGCGCAGGCGGUUAUGCAAGACAGAUGUGAAAUCCCCGGGCUCAACCUGGGAACUGCAUUUGUGACUGCAUGGCUGGAGUGCGGCAGAGGGGGAUGGAAUUCCGCGUGUAGCAGUGAAAUGCGUAGAGAUGUGGAGGAACACCGAUGGCGAAGGCAGCCCCCUGGGCUAACACUGACGCUCAUGCACGAAAGCGUGGGGAGCAAACAGG